This 415-nucleotide long non-coding RNA is filed under the name Serinus canaria (Common canary). RNAcentral's name for it is "lncRNA (ENSSCAG00000006690.1)". The record is from RNAcentral. Lineage: Eukaryota; Metazoa; Chordata; Aves; Passeriformes; Fringillidae.
CGGGCCGGGAGCGGCGCGGCUGCACCUCAGGUUGGGAGUGUGGCGGUGCUGGCACGGCCUGGGCUGAGCGAGGGCUCGGUCCCCCUGAGUGGGACCCCAGUGCUGGGGCCUGAGCACCUCCUGUUCCAGGGCAGAGACGGGACGGGGCCUGACAGUCAGUGAAUGUCACCGAAAACAGGGAUAAAGCCCCAGGAACUGCUGGGCCCUGCUGAGAUGGCAAAGCUAGGGCGUGGGUGGGGGAUGGAUGACACGUACAAGCAUGUUCGUGCUGCGAGCAGAGGAGCCUGCCCUGGACACAUCGCCUUCAGGAGAUGUCAGGGAUGAUUGUUCUGUGCUUGGAGCACUGUCCAGUGUGGUGGGAGGCAUUUUGUUUUCUGACAGCUGCAGAACUCUUUGCCUGAGGAUCCUGUGCUGA